This 445-nucleotide ribosomal RNA is filed under the name uncultured bacterium. RNAcentral's name for it is "partial 16S ribosomal RNA". It matches the Rfam family "Bacterial small subunit ribosomal RNA", at positions 354 to 796 of the family's 1533-position model. The record is from RNAcentral.
GUGAGGAAUAUUGCGCAAUGGAGGCAAUUCUGACGCAGCCAUGCCGCGUGCAGGAAGAAGGCGCUACGCGUUGUAAACUGCUUUUAACCGGGAAGAAACCCCAGGACGUGUCCUGGGUUGACGGUACCGGAGGAAUAAGCACCGGCUAACUUCGUGCCAGCAGCCGCGGUAAUACGAAGGGUGCAAGCGUUAUCCGGAUUCAUUGGGUUUAAAGGGUGCGUAGGCGGAGCGUUAAGUCAGUGGUGAAAUCCUGCAGCUUAACUGUAGACUUGCCAUUGAUACUGGCGCUCUUGAGUGCGCUUGAAGUGGGCGGAAUGUGCCGUGUAGCGGUGAAAUGCUUAGAUAUGGCACAGAACACCAAUUGCGAAGGCAGCUCACUAAGGCGAUACUGACGCUGAGGCACGAAAGCGUGGGGAUCGAACAGGAUUAGAAACCCGAGUAGUCC